GGGCCCGCACAAGCGGUGGAGUAUGUGGUUUAAUUCGAUGCAACGCGAAGAACCUUACCAGGGCUUAAAUGUAGUCUGACGUACUUGGAAACAGGUAUUUCUUCGGACAGAUUACAAGGUGCUGCAUGGUUGUCGUCAGCUCGUGCCGUGAGGUGUCAGGUUAAGUCCUAUAACGAGCGCAACCCCCUGUGGUUAGUUGCCAGCGAGUCAAGUCGGGAACUCUAGCCAGACUGCCGGUGCAAACCGUGAGGAAGGUGGGGAUGACGUCAAGUCCUCAUGGGCCCCUUACACGCGGGCUACACACGUGCUACAAUGGCAGUGACAAUGGGAUAAUCCCAAAAAGCUGUCUC
This 350-nucleotide ribosomal RNA is filed under the name uncultured bacterium. RNAcentral's name for it is "bacterial SSU rRNA". It matches the Rfam family "Bacterial small subunit ribosomal RNA", at positions 917 to 1289 of the family's 1533-position model. The record is from RNAcentral.